UACGUAGGGUGCAGGCGUUAAUCGGAAUUACUGGGCGUAAAGCGUGCGCAGGCGGUUUUGUAAGUCAGAUGUGAAAGCCCCGGGCUUAACCUGGGAACUGCGCUUGAAACUGGGAGACUUGAGUAUGGCAGAGGGGGGUGGAAUUCCACGUGUAGCAGUGAAAUGCGUAGAUAUGUGGAGGAACACCGAUGGCGAAGGCAGCCCCCUGGGUUAACACUGACGCUCAUGCACGAAAGCGUGGGGAGCAAACAGG
This 253-nucleotide ribosomal RNA is filed under the name uncultured bacterium. RNAcentral describes it as "partial 16S ribosomal RNA". It matches the Rfam family "Bacterial small subunit ribosomal RNA", at positions 524 to 776 of the family's 1533-position model. The record is from RNAcentral.